GGCUAUACCAAAAGUACAUACCGGCAACCCGAGGCACAGAGACUUCACGCGCACAAGGGUCGUCGUUGCGGAAGCAAGAGUGAGAGAGAGGGAGAAGGAAAAAGGAAGCUCAAAAGCACGAGAAAGAGAGAACCCGUGCGAUCGAUACGCCCGAACUUAUUUUGGAUUAUUUUCAACUCUUCACGCCGGGGGAGGGAACAGGAGAAUGCUGCUCGGAGGUUGAGGGAGGAAAAGCUUCUUGCCAGGCGUUAUCAAGGCCCACCAAGUGAGACGUAUCAACCCACGCAAUUAAGAGACACUCCGAGGGUUAGCAUCUCCAGAUGGAUAUUUAUGGAGGCGAUAUAUACGUGUAUAGAUGCGAGAGACAUAACGAAGUGAAUAAAUCGUGAGAUCGCGAGUGUUCCCAAUGGAUCGAUUAUAAAUAAGACAGUAAUCAGGCAAUCAGCGGAUCGUCGGAGCGAGGAUAUGACUUCCGAUCCUGGAUAUAACUCACCCGGGGGAUCGGACACAUUGCUGAAAAAAUGGGUGCUUAACUAACUCAAAUCAAUUACGGAAAAAGUUACAUUUUCUGGUUGAAGAAUCACCUCGGAUUCUUAUCGAGGGCUGAGAGUUACCGAAUAAGAUCGCGAUCGUUUUGUUUUCCUUCUAAUUGAUGGCGAAACUCCAUAUUCAUGUAUUGCUGGCUGCAAGCUUAUUGUCCCGGUCUUACUUGUUCCGCUGAUAGAGCGAGCUUCAAAUUUCUCUAUCAAAUGCCCUGGAACAUGGUCCCGGAUCUUUUGUUUGGAAGCAGAGGAAGAGCCAGGGUAAUGGAAUCCGUACGCGUCGCGCCGAGAAAUCUUGGGAACUCGGUAUUGUUGAAAAGUGUUAGCGAACAAGAGUAGAAAGAGAGCAAGAGAAAAUAGGAUGAGCACGGUGCGUUUACAACUUUUUGCUGAAUCGAACGAGAGAGUCUCGAAGAAUUGUUCGGGAUCGGUGUGCCUUGAAUGCGUUUCGUAAAGAACGCCCUAAGAACGGAGAAGAAACGCGAGAGAAGGAGGGAAGAUGAGAAAGAAGGGAACGAGAGAAGGUGAGAGGCUGCGAACGGUGUUACGCUUCGUUACGAGCCUCUCAGCGCUGUUAUA
This is a long non-coding RNA of Venturia canescens, 1121 nucleotides long. RefSeq lists it as uncharacterized. The transcript has 4 exons. The record is from RefSeq and is a predicted model, not a curated record. Lineage: Eukaryota; Metazoa; Arthropoda; Insecta; Hymenoptera; Ichneumonidae.